AUUGAACGCUGGCGGCAUGCUUUACACAUGCAAGUCGGACGAGUGGCGAACGGGUGAGUAACGCAUCGGAACGUAGCGUGUGGUGGGGGAUAACUGUGCGAAACGACAGCUAAUACCGCGUAUUAUAGGAUCGGCCGAAGUCUGAUUAGCUGGUUGGUGGGGUAAAGGCCCACCAAGACGACGAUCAGUAGCGGGUCUGAGAGGAUGAUCCGCCACACGGGGACGUAGACACGGCCCAGACUCCUACGGGAGGCAGCAGGGGGGAAUAUUGGACAAUGGGCGCAAGCCUGAUGCAGCCAUGCCGCGUGUCUGAAGAAGGCCUUCGGGUUGUAAAGUACUUUUGUCAGGGAAGCGGUACCUGAAGAAUAAGCACCGGCUAACUACGUGCCAGCAGCCGCGGUAAUAC
This 406-nucleotide ribosomal RNA is filed under the name uncultured bacterium. RNAcentral's name for it is "partial 16S ribosomal RNA". It matches the Rfam family "Bacterial small subunit ribosomal RNA", at positions 30 to 526 of the family's 1533-position model. The record is from RNAcentral.